GGCUCUAUAGUUCAAGGGAUAGAAUAAAAGUUUCCUAAACUUUAGAUUCAGGUUCGAGUCCUGGUGGAGCUACGA
RNAcentral lists this transfer RNA (75 nucleotides) under Lutibacter sp. HS1-25. RNAcentral's name for it is "tRNA-Arg". It matches the Rfam family "tRNA". Rfam says of the family: Transfer RNA (tRNA) molecules are approximately 80 nucleotides in length. Their secondary structure includes four short double-helical elements and three loops (D, anti-codon, and T loops). Lineage: Bacteria; Pseudomonadati; Bacteroidota; Flavobacteriia; Flavobacteriales; Flavobacteriaceae. The record is from RNAcentral.